GCCAGCAUGGUGUAGUGGUGCAAGCAUUGGACUAAAACUCUGGAGGCCAGGGUUGGAGUCCCUGCUUGGCC
Molecule: transfer RNA, 71 nt
Filed under: Phrynosoma platyrhinos (Desert horned lizard)
Lineage: Eukaryota; Metazoa; Chordata; Lepidosauria; Squamata; Phrynosomatidae
Description: tRNA-OTHER
Source: RNAcentral